UGGGCAGCGGGAACCCAGGCUGAGUAUAAGGAUGAUUAGGCCUUGUCCUCCUCCCCCUCUCACACUCCCCUCCUCGCUCCCCCUCCGCCCGCGCUGCUUCCCCGGCCAGGCCUGGCCACCAUCUUGACUCAGACUCCCUCUCAGGACACAGAGGGAGAAACCCGGGGACAGCACGACCCCCCCUCCCACCCCUGCCUGGCUCCUGCCCCCCGGAGACAGGCCGCACCGAGCCAGAAACUUCCCCCCGGCCAGCGUGUCCGCCAUUUUACAACUUACCUCGGCUCCCUCACAGCGCGCCUCCCUGGGGGGAAGGCCUCGUCCCACAGCCCCGGCUGCUAAUCCCACAGUCCCGGCGAACUCCCUCCUCGGGAAGAGGGGAGACCGCGAGGCCUAGUCACUGCUCCGAGCCAAUAUGGCAAAUAAUAGGCAGCUUGGCGGCGGCUCAGGCUCGGCUUGAGUUGUUUGCUCUACGGCGACUCCGAUACGAAUGAGGCGCGCAGGCGCCACCUGGCGGUCACAAGGAUCUGGCCGGCUCUCGCUGGGGCACAGCGACACCUAGCGAGCGACGGCGAGACUGCCACCCCGCGCUUUAACUCUUCCCGUGACCAUAGCGGAGUACAUUGAAAGUGUUGUGUGUUAACUGGAGGGCCAGCAACACAGUGACUUGUUGGCAGCCAAGGGUUAUACGAUUUGUUAUUCACACAAGACAUGUUUAGAGAAGAACUGGAUACACUGAAAGAGCAACAUGUUCCUCUUACAAAAAUAAUAAUAAUAAUAAAAAUGGAGUGACAAUGUAUCAGAUAUGUGUGUCACAGAUAUUACUUUAUAGCCAUUAUUCAG
Non-coding RNA from Pelobates cultripes (western spadefoot toad), 840 nucleotides. The record is from the annotation of a GenBank genome assembly. Lineage: Eukaryota; Metazoa; Chordata; Amphibia; Anura; Pelobatidae.